GGAAGGGUCUCUGAUCACCUCUCAUGAGGAGAUGCGUCCUGCUGCCUCAUUGCAAUGGCCUCAGGAAUAAGGAAUCAAGACCCACCUGGUGUGACGAAUAAACCUGGACUCUCAGCAAUGAAGGAAGAAAAGUCCUACAAAUACUGUGGCGACCAGGUAACUCCUCUGCACACACCAAGGAUUCAAGGCCUCCUAGCGCAAACACCACCUCUCAAAUUCCCAGUCCACCAACAUCAACCCAGAGAUCACAUCCUUGUCAAAAUCUGGAAAGAGGGAAAGCUUGAGCCCACCUGAGAAGAACCUUACCUAGUGCUCCUAACAACUGAGCAGUCCGAACUGCUGAAAAGGGGUGGAUCCAUUAUACCCAAGUCAGAAAGGCACUGCCCUCUCCAAAGCCAUGGACCGUCGUCCCAGGGCCAACUCUCACCAGAGUAACAUUAAAGAGAAAAGCCUAAUCUGUCUUUUUUUCCUCUUCUCUUUCCCUUAGCUGCCUCUCGUCUUAUUAUUAACUUAACUAGGUCAAGCUCACCCCAAAUCCAAAGCAUUACUUUCAAUGCUUGUCUUGCCAUGCCCCGAGGGAAUCUCCAAAGUCAGAGACAGCUAGCCUCCUAGAAAAGCUCUGCCCAUCCACCCCUUCCAAACCCAGCACCACCUAUAACCUUUGCAAUCAACAACCAUGAGCCUUCCAGGGGUUAUGAUAUAGUUGGGGAGCUGUUAUCUGGACUACCAAAUAUCAGGGCUGGACCUCCUCAGAAGGCUGCACCACCCUAAAAUCCUACCUCCACUUCACCAUAGGAAUCACCCCCUCAAAUUGCCAAAUCCACCAGUGCAACCCAGUACUUCUCUCUAUUCUUAUCCCCACCUCCACUGACCCUAACCCCACUUGUCUUUAUGGCCUAGGAAUGGAUGUCACUGGAAAAGACCCCAUAGGCUCCUCUAAAAUAUCUUUCAUUGGCUGGGCGUGGCGGCUCACACCUGUAAUCCCAGCACUUUGGGAGGCCGAGGCAGGCGGAUCACAAGGUCAAGAGAUUGAGACCAACCUGGCCACCGUGGUGAAACCCCAUCUCUACUAAAAAUACAAAAAUUAGCUGGGCAUGGUGGCACAUGCCUGUAGUCCCAGCUACUCGGUAGGCUGAGGCAGGAGAAUCACUUGAACUUGGGAGGCGGAGGUUACAGUGAGCUGAGAUCGUGCCACUGCACUCCAGCAUGGCGACAGAGACUCUGCCUCAAACAAACAACAACAAAACAAAAAUAAAAACAAAAAAAGUUUUGUUAACCCUUCUCCGUCUCCUACCAACUCACCUCCCCCACGCCCACCAAAUCAAACCAUUUUUCGUUUCUUACCUAAUAAUAAAAAAAUAGCCAUAGUAGAAGUCAUGGACCUAAAGCAAACCUUAGCCAUAGAAACCAGAUAUCAAGAUGUUAAUGCCUGGCUGGAAUGGAUUAAAUAUUCCAUUCACACCC
Molecule: long non-coding RNA, 1464 nt
Filed under: Homo sapiens (human)
Lineage: Eukaryota; Metazoa; Chordata; Mammalia; Primates; Hominidae
Description: non-protein coding lnc-CNOT8-1:1
Source: RNAcentral